RNAcentral lists this ribosomal RNA (494 nucleotides) under uncultured bacterium. RNAcentral describes it as "bacterial SSU rRNA". It matches the Rfam family "Bacterial small subunit ribosomal RNA", at positions 1 to 507 of the family's 1533-position model. The record is from RNAcentral.
CUAGACGAGUUUGAUCAUGGCUCAGGAUGAACGCUGGCGGCGUGCCUAAUACAUGCAAGUCGAACGAGGUGCUUUUGUAGCAAUACGAGAGUAUCCUAGUGGCGAACGGGUGAGUAACGCGUGGAUGACCUGCCCCAAAGUGUGGGAUAACAGUCCGAAAGGAUUGCUAAUACCUCAUGUGGUUANCGGUUUUAGAAAGCGAUAACUAAAGCAGCAAUGCGCUUUGGGAGGGAUCUGCGUCCCAUCAGCUAGUUGGUGAGGUAACGGCUCACCAAGGCGACGACGGGUAGGGGACCUGAGAGGGUGGCCCCCCACAAUGGAACUGAAACACGGUCCAUACACCUACGGGUGGCAGCAGUAGGGAAUAUUGCUCAAUGGGCGAAAGCCUGAAGCAGCAACGCCGCGUGUGCGAUGAAGGCCUUCGGGUCGUAAAGCACUUUUCUAAGAGAUGAGAAAGGACAGUAUCUUAGGAAUAAGUCUCGGCUAACUACGUG